Non-coding RNA from Caenorhabditis elegans, 21 nucleotides. The record is from Ensembl. Lineage: Eukaryota; Metazoa; Nematoda; Chromadorea; Rhabditida; Rhabditidae.
UCUUGUCAAUUUGUGUUAAAG